UGAAGUUUUAUAUUAUGUUUAUUAGGACAAAGCUUCAAGAAUAAGGCCACUAUCAUUUCUUGCAGCUUAUUAGAAAAGCCAUGCAUUUUAAACUUUUCAAGCCGUUUUGAUAGAGAAUUCCCACAAAUCACUGGCUAUCAGGCUCCCCUGAACAUUUCUUGCUCCAACCACCUGAACCAGCUUUCCUCUCUCCUCGCUUUCUCUUGUUCUUUGGAAAUUGGAA
Molecule: unclassified non-coding RNA, 223 nt
Filed under: Hevea brasiliensis (rubber tree)
Lineage: Eukaryota; Viridiplantae; Streptophyta; Magnoliopsida; Malpighiales; Euphorbiaceae
Source: RNAcentral